CUGUGGGAAGCAGGAGGGACCACCCUCCAAGGCUAAAUACUACCUAGUGACCGAUAGCGUAUAGUACCGUGAGGGAAAGGUGAAAAGAACCCCGGGAGGGGAGUGAAAUAGAACCUGAAACCCUGCACUUACAAGCUGUGGAAGCACAUUUCUUGUGUGACCGCGUACUUUUUGUAGAACGGGCCAACGAGUUACGUUAAGUAGCAAGGUUAAGCACUUAAGGUGCGGAGCCGUAGCGAAAGCGAGUUUUAACUGAGCGUUCAGUUAUUUGACGUAGACCCGAAACCGGGCGACCUACCCAUGAGCAGGAUGAAGCGAAAGUAAAAUUUCGUGGAGGUCCGAACCCACGAGCGUUGAAAAGCUCGGGGAUGACUUGUGGG
Molecule: ribosomal RNA, 380 nt
Filed under: Clostridioides difficile
Lineage: Bacteria; Bacillati; Bacillota; Clostridia; Peptostreptococcales; Peptostreptococcaceae
Description: partial 23S ribosomal RNA
Rfam family: Bacterial large subunit ribosomal RNA
Source: RNAcentral